RNAcentral lists this ribosomal RNA (438 nucleotides) under uncultured bacterium. RNAcentral's name for it is "bacterial SSU rRNA". It matches the Rfam family "Bacterial small subunit ribosomal RNA", at positions 958 to 1398 of the family's 1533-position model. The record is from RNAcentral.
AACGCGAAGAACCUUACCAGGUCUUGACAUCCCAUUGACCGCUAUAGAGAUAUAGUUUUCCUUCGGGACAAUGGUGACAGGUGGUGCAUGGUUGUCGUCAGCUCGUGUCGUGAGAUGUUGGGUUAAGUCCCGCAACGAGCGCAACCCUUAUCAUUAGUUGCUAACAUUUAGUUGAGGACUCUAAUGAGACUGCCAGUGAUAUACUGGAGGAAGGUGGGGAUGACGUCAAAUCAUCAUGCCCCUUAUGACCUGGGCUACACACGUGCUACAAUGGCCAGUACAAUAAGUUGCAAUACAGUGAUGUGGAGCUAAUCUUUUAAAGCUGGUCUCAGUUCGGAUUGUAGUCUGCAACUCGACUACAUGAAGUCGGAAUCGCUAGUAAUCCCGAAUCAGCAUGUCGGGGUGAAUACGUUCCCGGGCCUUGUACACACCGGAGUA